This 778-nucleotide ribosomal RNA is filed under the name Psychrobacter sp. A3b-2. Its description in RNAcentral is "bacterial SSU rRNA". It matches the Rfam family "Bacterial small subunit ribosomal RNA", at positions 97 to 873 of the family's 1533-position model. Lineage: Bacteria; Pseudomonadati; Pseudomonadota; Gammaproteobacteria; Moraxellales; Moraxellaceae. The record is from RNAcentral. RNAcentral also lists the same sequence under 1 other name.
GGCGGACGGGUGAGUAAUACUUAGGAAUCUACCUAGUAGUGGGGGAUAGCUCGGGGAAACUCGAAUUAAUACCGCAUACGUCCUACGGGAGAAAGGGGGCAACUUGUUGCUCUCGCUAUUAGAUGAGCCUAAGUCGGAUUAGCUAGAUGGUGGGGUAAAGGCCUACCAUGGCGACGAUCUGUAGCUGGUCUGAGAGGAUGAUCAGCCACACCGGGACUGAGACACGGCCCGGACUCCUACGGGAGGCAGCAGUGGGGAAUAUUGGACAAUGGGGGGAACCCUGAUCCAGCCAUGCCGCGUGUGUGAAGAAGGCCUUUUGGUUGUAAAGCACUUUAAGCAGUGAAGAAGACUCUUCGGUUAAUACCCGGGGACGAUGACAUUAGCUGCAGAAUAAGCACCGGCUAACUCUGUGCCAGCAGCCGCGGUAAUACAGAGGGUGCAAGCGUUAAUCGGAAUUACUGGGCGUAAAGCGAGCGUAGGUGGCUUGAUAAGUCAGAUGUGAAAUCCCCGGGCUUAACCUGGGAACUGCAUCUGAAACUGUUAGGCUAGAGUAGGUGAGAGGGAAGUAGAAUUUCAGGUGUAGCGGUGAAAUGCGUAGAGAUCUGAAGGAAUACCGAUGGCGAAGGCAGCUUCCUGGCAUCAUACUGACACUGAGGCUCGAAAGCGUGGGUAGCAAACAGGAUUAGAUACCCUGGUAGUCCACGCCGUAAACGAUGUCUACUAGUCGUUGGGUCCCUUGAGGACUUAGUGACGCAGCUAACGCAAUAAGUAGACCGCC